Phrynosoma platyrhinos (Desert horned lizard) is the source of this 72-nucleotide non-coding RNA. The record is from the annotation of a GenBank genome assembly. NCBI's taxonomy places the organism in Eukaryota, Metazoa, Chordata, Lepidosauria, Squamata, Phrynosomatidae.
GCCAGCGUGACAUAGUGGUUUGAGUGUUGGACUGUGACUCUGGGGACUAGGGUUUGAUUCCCAGCUCUGCCA